UCCGUAGGUGAACCUGCGGUUGGAUCAUUAAAAAGAUCUUAGCCUGCACCCUUCUUGUGGACUGCUUGCGGGCCGCAACCAGGGACGAGGCUGAAUUCCCCGAAAUGGGAAUAACAUCAUGUGAACUGUUCUGUCUCUGGCGGUGGGAUGGCUAAAAACCAUCCGUCAGCAUCCGAGAUUUCUCUCGGUGUGCCGUGGACAAGCCGCCAACGGUGUAUGUUUCAUACAAACUUUUUGUUUCAUUAAAAUUGUCUGACCUACCUUUGUAUCUAAAAUAUACAAAAACAACUUUUGGCAACGGAUCUCUUGGCUCCCGCAACGAUGAAGAACGCAGCGAAAUGCGAUAUGUAGUGUGAAUUGCAGAAUUCAGUGAGUCAUCGAAUCUUUGAACGCACAUUGCGCUCUCUGGUAUUCCGGGGAGCAUGCUCGUUUCAGAAUCAUUAAAAUUCUCAAAGUUACAGUCUUGUUCCUACAAGGCUGCAUCUUUUGGAUGUGAGCCCUUUUGUCGUAUGGCAAUGGCUUGAAAAUGAUUGUGUUUGCACCAGCUCUAUGGCUCGGUUCUUAACAAGUGCAACAGAUGUUAACUCAUUCGUUAUCUCUUGAAGAGGAUCGUUUUCAGGUACUGGUUGAUACACUCAAAACCAAAAACUUUCGCUGAUCCUUGGAUCUUCGACUGAUAACUUGGUCUGAAAUCGAGCAAGAAAACCCGCUGAACUUAAGCAUAUCAAUAAGCGGAGGAAAAGAAACUAACAAGGAUUCCCCUAGUAACGGCGAGUGAAGCGGGAACAGCUCAAAUUUGAAAUCUCACAAGGUCACUUGUGCGAAUUGUAGUUUAGAGAAACGUUUUCGGGGGCGACGUGGGUAUAAGUCCUUUGGAAAGAGGCAUCAUAGAGGGUGAGAAUCCCGUUUAUGAUCCACUGUUCGCUCCUAUGUGAUACGUUUUCCAAGAGUCAUGUAGUUUGGGAUUGCUGCAUAAAAUGGGUGGUAAAUACCAUCUAAAGCUAAAUAUUGGCGGGAGACCGAUAGCGAACAAGUACCGUGAGGGAAAGAUGAAAAGAACUUUGAAAAGAGAGUUAAACAGUACGUGAAAUUGCCAAAAGGGAAACGCUUGAAGU
This 1115-nucleotide small RNA is filed under the name uncultured fungus. Its description in RNAcentral is "eukaryotic LSU rRNA". The stretch from base 683 to 1115 matches the Rfam family "Eukaryotic large subunit ribosomal RNA", at positions 1 to 429 of the family's 3401-position model. The record is from RNAcentral. Lineage: Eukaryota; Fungi.